Molecule: ribosomal RNA, 769 nt
Filed under: uncultured bacterium
Lineage: Bacteria
Description: bacterial SSU rRNA
Rfam family: Bacterial small subunit ribosomal RNA
Source: RNAcentral
AUUGAACGCUGGCGGCAGGCCUAACACAUGCAAGUCGAGCGGCAGCGACUUAACUGAACCUUCGGGGAACGUUAAGGGCGGCGAGUGGCGGACGGGUGAGUAAUGCCUGGGAAUAUGCCCUGAUGUGGGGGAUAACUAUUGGAAACGAUAGCUAAUACCGCAUAAUCUCUUCGGAGCAAAGAGGGGGACCUUCGGGCCUCUCGCGUCAGGAUUAGCCCAGGUGGGAUUAGCUUGUUGGUGAGGUAAUGGCUCACCAAGGCAACGACCCCUAGCUGGUCUGAGAGGAUGAUCAGCCACACUGGAACUGAGACACGGUCCAGACUCCUACGGGAGGCAGCAGUGGGGAAUAUUGCACAAUGGGGGAAACCCUGAUGCAGCCAUGCCGCGUGUGUGAAGAAGGCCUUCGGGUUGUAAAGCACUUUCAGUAGGGAGGAAGGUAGUGUAGUUAACACCUGCAUUAUUUGACGUUACCUACAGAAGAAGCACCGGCUAACUCCGUGCCAGCAGCCGCGGUAAUACGGAGGGUGCGAGCGUUAAUCGGAAUUACUGGGCGUAAAGCGCAUGCAGGCGGCCUGUUAAGUCAGAUGUGAAAGCCCGGGGCUUAACCUCGGAAUUGCAUUUGAAACUGGCAGGCUAGAGUCUUGUAGAGGGGGGUAGAAUUUCAGGUGUAGCGGUGAAAUGCGUAGAGAUCUGAAGGAAUACCAGUGGCGAAGGCGGCCCCCUGGACAAAGACUGACGCUCAGAUGCGAAAGCGUGGGGAGCAAACAGG